CGGGGCGUGGCGCAGUCCGGUAGCGCGCUUGCAUGGGGUGCAAGAGGCCCCCGGUUCGAAUCCGGGCGCCCCGA
This 74-nucleotide transfer RNA is filed under the name Chloroflexota bacterium. RNAcentral's name for it is "Chloroflexi bacterium tRNA-Pro". It matches the Rfam family "tRNA". Rfam says of the family: Transfer RNA (tRNA) molecules are approximately 80 nucleotides in length. Their secondary structure includes four short double-helical elements and three loops (D, anti-codon, and T loops). Lineage: Bacteria; Bacillati; Chloroflexota. The record is from RNAcentral.